GCCGUCUAAGUUUUCGGUUAAAUCUAUGCGCUUAACGUAUAGGCCGCCGAAAAUACUGGACAGCUAGGGAGUGGGAGAGGUACACGGUACUCAAUAGGAAGGGGUAAAAUCCUUUGAUCUAUUGAUGACCACCUGUGGCGAAGGCGGUGUACCAGAACACGUUCGACGGUGAGGGAUGAAAGCUGGGGGAGCAAACCGGAUUAGAUACCCGGGUAGUCCCAGCUGUAAACGAUGCAGACUCGGUGAUGCAUUGGCUUGUGGCCAAUGCAGUGCCGCAGGGAAGCCGUUAAGUCUGCCGCCUGGGAAGUACGUACGCAAGUAUGAAACUUAAAGGAAUUGGCGGGGGAGCACCACAAGGGGUGAAGCCUGCGGUUCAAUUGGAGUCAACGCCAGAAACCUUACCCGGGGCGACAGCAGAAUGAAGGUCAAGCUGAAGACUUUACCAGACAAGCUGAGAGGUGGUGCAUGGCCGUCGCCAGCUCGUGCCGUGAGAUGUCCUGUUAAGUCAGGUAACGAGCGAGACCCCUGCGUCUAGUUGCUACCAUUACUCUCUGGAGUAGUGGAGCGAAUUAGACGGACCGCCACAGUUAAUGUGGAGGAAGGAAGGGGCCACGGCAGGUCAGUAUGCCCCGAAACCCUGGGGCCACACGCGGGCUGCAAUGGUAUUGACAAUGUGUUCCGAAUCCGAAAGGAGGAGGCAAUCAUCAAACGAUACCUCAGUUAUGACUGAGGGCUGUAACUCGCCCUCACGAAUAUGGAAUCCC
RNAcentral lists this ribosomal RNA (764 nucleotides) under uncultured Candidatus Cenarchaeales thaumarchaeote. Its description in RNAcentral is "bacterial SSU rRNA". It matches the Rfam family "Archaeal small subunit ribosomal RNA", at positions 528 to 1291 of the family's 1478-position model. Lineage: Archaea; Thermoproteati; Nitrososphaerota; Candidatus Cenarchaeales. The record is from RNAcentral.